GACUUUCUUUUCAACCCCACACACCCCCACCCCCGCCGCCCGCUCUCGUGGAGAAGUGCAGGACAAAGCCCCUCUACAGACGGGGAAACUGAGGCUAAUAAACGGUGGGGCGGUCAGGCCAGUCUUCGGCCCGGGGCACCCCCGGCCUCCCGGGAGGGCGCCCCCACCCCAGCGCGGGAGCUCCCCUCGCGUUUCUGGGCUUUCAGAGGACUUUUCCUCCUGGGUGCCCCUGCCGGCUGGGGUCCAGGCGAAGCCCGGCCUCUCGGUUUACAGAGCGCAGCUGAGGCUGAGAAAGGGGCGCGUGCCCGCGAGGCCAGCUGGCGGGGGCGGGGCGGGUCGGUCCGUCCCCAAGUCUGCCCCUUCGGGCCUGUCCACCGGGCUGUUCCGGGGCUCCACGCCCCUCGGGGGUCAUGCUGGCCUGAUGUUUCUGACUUUCCACUGGGUACCUCCCGUGGGGGCCCCAGUCACCUGGGCACAUUCUCUGUGGAGCCCUGGCUGUGGCCUCGCACGCAGAUGGACAGCCGGAAACAGUGGGCAGCAGAAAUGUGAGAUGACCUCAGCCACCCAGCCACCAGGCAAGGCUUGUCCAGACAAGGCCUGCGGGAAGGAAGGUGUUUCCUCAUGAUUGGCCCCUGGCAGGGCUGCAGGGAGGCCGCUCUGUGCCCACUAGAAGGAGCAGAAACGGCUUCGGGGCCCGAGCCAGCACGUGGCGUUCCAGCUCUUUCCUGUGGCCCAGCCCGGAGGGAUGGACACUCCAGGUGCCUAACAGUGCAAGCAGAGGCAAAAUUGCACCUGUGACGGCAGUCCAAGGGGACACGCAGUGUCACUCGUUCGGUGGUAAAAGAAGAGCCCUGUCUUGGUUCAGAAGGCAGGAGGGGCCGUCCCUGAGGAGGGAGCGUGACAGCUGAGACCUGAAGGAGAAGCACAGCUGAUGUGGUCGGAGGGCAGCAAAGAAUUUCCCAGGCACAGGGAAUGGUGCGUGCAAAGGCCCUGAGGCGGGAAUGAAGGUCGAAGGACUACAGAAAGAUAAAGGCUGAGCAUACCUAUCCUGCAGCCCAAGAAACUGAGGUUCCACAAGAGAAGGAGGAACCCCCUGUUCAGCCGGGAAGACCAGGCCCCGACACGGGGUGAGGACCUGAGGACUCUGGGUCAGCACAGGCCGGCGUCCCGCCCGAGUGGCCGCCCUGGUCGGGGGCAGGACUUCCGGGCCAGUCGGUCUUGAUUCCCCCACCUCCUGCUUCCAGCACAUUCUGCUUCUCUCAGUGAUGGUGGGGGACCCACCCUGGGAGGACGAGGAGGGACAGGGCCAGAGGCAUCACUAAUCUCAAUCCAGAAGCCAACUCUAGCUUGUGUGUCCACUUAGCUUCUGGAGGACGUGUGGGCCACAGGGCCCUGGGGAGGGUCGCAGCGGCGGGGCGCUCUAGACCCGUCACCUGGAUUCAGCCCCCAAGAAACCGAUUUGACCAGGACUGAUGGGCCAAGCUGGAACAGAGUCGGGGUCACUCGCCCAAACACAGCAGGCCUGAGCCUCUGAGGCAGACGGGGAGAAGCCGGGCAAGAGGGAAUGGGGGUGGGAGGCAAGAGAACAAAGGGAGGCCCUGGCCCUGCAGCUUUCCCUGCAGGACUUCUCAGAGCCUUUAUGUCCUGCAGUACCCCAGGACUCCCAAGGGAACAGCCACACUGCACAGGGGUUCCCAAGCCGACCUGCCCACAGAACCCCUGCUGCAGGAACGUCUCACAGAAGCGGGCGCCCCGACUUCCUCAGGAAACACGGAGUGAGACGGGUGGGCUGAGGCCGGGCUGGAGUUCUCGCUCAGACACUGGUUUGCCCUGGGACCCUAUGGAAUCUGUUCAGGGUCACACAGGGCCUCUCAUCCCUGGGCGUUUAGGGAGGAAGGGGCCAGGGGUGCCCCGUGGAAAUAGGGCUCCCUGCCUGGGGCCACGCAAUCAUGGCAGUAGGAGACGCACCCUCAUGGGGGAGAGGUGACCAGAGCCCCCCCCGCCUGAGUGGACGGAAGCCCCCUCACGUACGACCUGCACAGAGAGGACAGCUGGGGGGGGUCAUACUGGCUUCACAGAACAGCCAAGGUUUGUCCCUCCCCCCACUUCCCAAGGCCACGGUCAGGUCGGCCAGGGGCUCGCUCAGGCGCUGUGGAGGCCAACGCCAUGCCCGUGGCUCCAGGCGGGAGAGGGGGCUAGAAGCUGUGACACCUCAUUUUAAGGGGCCACCCAUUAAUUAAUUAGGCCCAAUGAAUAAUUCAUGCUGCCUUGGGUAUAUUAAUAGCAUAUUUAUAUGGCGUGCUAUGGAUAGUAUACAUUCUUGUCUGAACACUUCACAAAUAAUUCAUGACCCCGCUCCUUUCCUGGGCUCCGGGAGAACCUGGCCAGUGCUGAGGCUAGGGCUCGUGGGUUGCUUCCAACAGCCAAAUUUUACAUUUCAUUAUAAAUGGCUUUGCUGGGCAUGUCAGUAACUUUUACAUUUCCAUCCACUUUAUUAUUAAUGGCUUUCCUGAACUGUAGCAGCCAGGCGUCGCGCACAAUGCGUUAUAAAUAUUUGAUCCAGCAUCUAUAGCCCGCCAUUUAUCAUUUAUAACGGGU
Prionailurus viverrinus (fishing cat) is the source of this 2598-nucleotide long non-coding RNA. RefSeq lists it as uncharacterized. NCBI's taxonomy places the organism in Eukaryota, Metazoa, Chordata, Mammalia, Carnivora, Felidae. The record is from RefSeq and is a predicted model, not a curated record. The transcript is spliced from 3 exons.